RNAcentral lists this ribosomal RNA (2783 nucleotides) under Bacillus cereus. Its description in RNAcentral is "bacterial LSU rRNA". It matches the Rfam family "Bacterial large subunit ribosomal RNA". The record is from RNAcentral. Lineage: Bacteria; Bacillati; Bacillota; Bacilli; Caryophanales; Bacillaceae.
GGUUAAGUUAGAAAGGGCGCACGGUGGAUGCCUUGACACUAGGAGUCGAUGAAGGACGGGACUAACGCCGAUAUGCUUCGGGGAGCUGUAAGUAAGCUUUGAUCCGAAGAUUUCCGAAUGGGGAAACCCACCAUACGUAAUGGUAUGGUAUCCUUAUCUGAAUACAUAGGGUAAGGAAGACAGACCCAGGGAACUGAAACAUCUAAGUACCUGGAGGAAGAGAAAGCAAAUGCGAUUUCCUGAGUAGCGGCGAGCGAAACGGAACAUAGCCCAAACCAAGAGGCUUGCCUCUUGGGGUUGUAGGACAUUCUAUACGGAGUUACAAAGGAACGAGGUAGACGAAGCGACCUGGAAAGGUCCGUCGUAGAGGGUAACAACCCCGUAGUCGAAACUUCGUUCUCUCUUGAAUGUAUCCUGAGUACGGCGGAACACGUGAAAUUCCGUCGGAAUCUGGGAGGACCAUCUCCCAAGGCUAAAUACUCCCUAGUGAUCGAUAGUGAACCAGUACCGUGAGGGAAAGGUGAAAAGCACCCCGGAAGGGGAGUGAAAGAGAUCCUGAAACCGUGUGCCUACAAAUAGUCAGAGCCCGUUAACGGGUGAUGGCGUGCCUUUUGUAGAAUGAACCGGCGAGUUACGAUCCCGUGCGAGGUUAAGCUGAAGAGGCGGAGCCGCAGCGAAAGCGAGUCUGAAUAGGGCGUUUAGUACGUGGUCGUAGACCCGAAACCAGGUGAUCUACCCAUGUCCAGGGUGAAGUUCAGGUAACACUGAAUGGAGGCCCGAACCCACGCACGUUGAAAAGUGCGGGGAUGAGGUGUGGGUAGCGGAGAAAUUCCAAUCGAACCUGGAGAUAGCUGGUUCUCCCCGAAAUAGCUUUAGGGCUAGCCUUAAGUGUAAGAGUCUUGGAGGUAGAGCACUGAUUGGACUAGGGGUCCUCAUCGGAUUACCGAAUUCAGUCAAACUCCGAAUGCCAAUGACUUAUCCUUAGGAGUCAGACUGCGAGUGAUAAGAUCCGUAGUCAAAAGGGAAACAGCCCAGACCGCCAGCUAAGGUCCCAAAGUGUGUAUUAAGUGGAAAAGGAUGUGGAGUUGCUUAGACAACUAGGAUGUUGGCUUAGAAGCAGCCACCAUUUAAAGAGUGCGUAAUAGCUCACUAGUCGAGUGACUCUGCGCCGAAAAUGUACCGGGGCUAAAUACACCACCGAAGCUGCGGAUUGAUACCGAAUGGUAUCAGUGGUAGGGGAGCGUUCUAAGGACAGUGAAGUCAGACCGUAAGGACUGGUGGAGUGCUUAGAAGUGAGAAUGCCGGUAUGAGUAGCGAAAGACGGGUGAGAAUCCCGUCCACCGAAUGCCUAAGGUUUCCUGAGGAAGGCUCGUCCGCUCAGGGUUAGUCAGGACCUAAGCCGAGGCCGACAGGCGUAGGCGAUGGACAACAGGUUGAUAUUCCUGUACCACCUCUUUAUCGUUUGAGCAAUGGAGGGACGCAGAAGGAUAGAAGAAGCGUGCGAUUGGUUGUGCACGUCCAAGCAGUUAGGCUGAUAAGUAGGCAAAUCCGCUUAUCGUAAAGGCUGAGCUGUGAUGGGGAAGCUCCUUAUGGAGCGAAGUCUUUGAUUCCCCGCUGCCAAGAAAAGCUUCUAGCGAGAUAAAAGGUGCCUGUACCGCAAACCGACACAGGUAGGCGAGGAGAGAAUCCUAAGGUGUGCGAGAGAACUCUGGUUAAGGAACUCGGCAAAAUGACCCCGUAACUUCGGGAGAAGGGGUGCUUUCUUAACGGAAAGCCGCAGUGAAUAGGCCCAAGCGACUGUUUAGCAAAAACACAGCUCUCUGCGAAGCCGUAAGGCGAAGUAUAGGGGGUGACACCUGCCCGGUGCUGGAAGGUUAAGGAGAGGGGUUAGCGUAAGCGAAGCUCUGAACUGAAGCCCCAGUAAACGGCGGCCGUAACUAUAACGGUCCUAAGGUAGCGAAAUUCCUUGUCGGGUAAGUUCCGACCCGCACGAAAGGUGUAACGAUUUGGGCACUGUCUCAACCAGAGACUCGGUGAAAUUAUAGUACCUGUGAAGAUGCAGGUUACCCGCGACAGGACGGAAAGACCCCGUGGAGCUUUACUGUAGCCUGAUAUUGAAUUUUGGUACAGUUUGUACAGGAUAGGCGGGAGCCAUUGAAACCGGAGCGCUAGCUUCGGUGGAGGCGCUGGUGGGAUACCGCCCUGACUGUAUUGAAAUUCUAACCUACGGGUCUUAUCGACCCGGGAGACAGUGUCAGGUGGGCAGUUUGACUGGGGCGGUCGCCUCCUAAAGUGUAACGGAGGCGCCCAAAGGUUCCCUCAGAAUGGUUGGAAAUCAUUCGUAGAGUGCAAAGGCAUAAGGGAGCUUGACUGCGAGACCUACAAGUCGAGCAGGGACGAAAGUCGGGCUUAGUGAUCCGGUGGUUCCGCAUGGAAGGGCCAUCGCUCAACGGAUAAAAGCUACCCCGGGGAUAACAGGCUUAUCUCCCCCAAGAGUCCACAUCGACGGGGAGGUUUGGCACCUCGAUGUCGGCUCAUCGCAUCCUGGGGCUGUAGUCGGUCCCAAGGGUUGGGCUGUUCGCCCAUUAAAGCGGUACGCGAGCUGGGUUCAGAACGUCGUGAGACAGUUCGGUCCCUAUCCGUCGUGGGCGUAGGAAAUUUGAGAGGAGCUGUCCUUAGUACGAGAGGACCGGGAUGGACGCACCGCUGGUGUACCAGUUGUUCUGCCAAGGGCAUAGCUGGGUAGCUAUGUGCGGAAGGGAUAAGUGCUGAAAGCAUCUAAG